RNAcentral lists this transfer RNA (68 nucleotides) under Scolytinae sp. BMNH 1274291. RNAcentral describes it as "tRNA-Ser". Lineage: Eukaryota; Metazoa; Arthropoda; Insecta; Coleoptera; Curculionidae. The record is from RNAcentral.
GGAUUAAGAUACUUCAAGAAAAAGCUUCUAACUUUAUUCUUAAGCAGUGCAAAUCUGUUUUUAGUCCU